UCCAGGGUAGCCUAGUGGACAUGGCAUCUGCCCUGUAAACGGAACACUGUGGGUUCUAUUCCAAUCCCUGGAU
RNAcentral lists this transfer RNA (73 nucleotides) under Cordylochernes scorpioides. RNAcentral describes it as "tRNA-Thr". It matches the Rfam family "tRNA". Rfam says of the family: Transfer RNA (tRNA) molecules are approximately 80 nucleotides in length. The record is from RNAcentral. Lineage: Eukaryota; Metazoa; Arthropoda; Arachnida; Pseudoscorpiones; Chernetidae.